GAAUCUUGCGCAAUGGCCGAAAGGCUGACGCAGCGACGCCGUGUGCGGGAGGACGCUUUUCGGAGUGUAAACCGCUGUCAGAGGGGACGAAGGCCCCCGGGAGGCAAUGCCCGUGGGGAGGGACGGUACCCUCAGAGGAAGCACCGGCUAACUCCGUCCCAGCCGCCGCGGUAAUACGGAGGGUGCGAGCGUUGUUCGGAAUUAUUGGGCGUAAAGCGCACGUAGGCGGCCCGUUAAGUCUCAUGGUGAAAGGCCGGGGCUCAACCCCGAGCAUGCCGGGGAUACUGGGGGGCUGGAGACAGGCAGAGGCCAGCGGAAUUCCGGGUGUAGCGGUGGAAUGCGUAGAGAUCCGGAAGAACACCGGAGGCGAAGGCGGCUGGCUGGGCCUGAUCUGACGCUGAGGUGCGAAAGCGUGGGGAGCGAACAGG
Molecule: ribosomal RNA, 428 nt
Filed under: uncultured bacterium
Lineage: Bacteria
Description: bacterial SSU rRNA
Rfam family: Bacterial small subunit ribosomal RNA
Source: RNAcentral